GGAGGGUGCAAGCGUUACUCGGAAUCACUGGGCGUAAAGAGCGUGUAGGCGGGUAUAUAAGUCAGAAGUGAAAUCCAAUAGCUUAACUAUUGAACUGCUUUUGAAACUGUAUACCUAGAAUGUGGGAGAGGUAGAUGGAAUUUCUGGUGUAGGGGUAAAAUCCGUAGAGAUCAGAAGGAAUACCGAUUGCGAAGGCGAUCUACUGGAACAUUAUUGACGCUGAGACGCGAAAGCGUGGGGAGCAAAC
This 247-nucleotide ribosomal RNA is filed under the name uncultured Arcobacter sp. Its description in RNAcentral is "partial 16S ribosomal RNA". It matches the Rfam family "Bacterial small subunit ribosomal RNA", at positions 527 to 773 of the family's 1533-position model. Lineage: Bacteria; Pseudomonadati; Campylobacterota; Epsilonproteobacteria; Campylobacterales; Arcobacteraceae. The record is from RNAcentral.